CUACCAAGACAGUGACGGUUGACGGGAAAUUAGGGUUUUGUACCGGAGAGGGAGCCUGAGAGAUUGCUCCCACGUCCAAGGACGGCAGCAGGCGCGAAAAUUGCCCACUCUUUGCAGGAGGCAGUUAUGAGACGUGAAGAUGAGUAUCUUGUAAAGAGGGAUAGGAGAAUUGGAGGGCAAGUUUGGUGCCAGCAGCCGCGGUAAUACCGACUCCAAGAGUGUGUAUGAGAGAUGCUGCAGUUAAAAAGUCCGUAGUCAUAGAAGGGCAAAGAGAGACGCGAGGUCUCACAGUGCGAUGAUGGAGGAGCCGAUGGGGAACAUAGUAUACCAGGGCGAGAGAUGAAAUGCCAAGACCCCUGGUGGACUGAGCGAGGCGAAGGCGAUGUUCUUGUAGGCAUUCGGUGAUCAAGGACGAAGGCUGGAGUAUCGAAAGUGAUUAGAUACCGCAGUAGUUCCAGCAGUAAAAGAUGCC
Molecule: ribosomal RNA, 472 nt
Filed under: Vittaforma corneae
Lineage: Eukaryota; Fungi; Microsporidia; Nosematidae
Description: bacterial SSU rRNA
Rfam family: Microsporidia small subunit ribosomal RNA
Source: RNAcentral